UACGUAGGGUGCGAGCGUUGUCCGGAAUUAUUGGGCGUAAAGGGCGCGUAGGCGGCCAGCGCAAGUCAGUUGUGAAAUCUCCGGGCUUAACUCGGAAAGGUCAACUGAUACUGCGCGGCUAGAGUGCGGAAGGGGCAACUGGAAUUCUCGGUGUAGCGGUGAAAUGCGUAGAUAUCGAGAGGAACACCUGCGGCGAAGGCGGGUUGCUGGGCCGACACUGACGCUGAGGCACGAAGGCCAGGGGAGCAAACGGG
Molecule: ribosomal RNA, 254 nt
Filed under: uncultured bacterium
Lineage: Bacteria
Description: partial 16S ribosomal RNA
Rfam family: Bacterial small subunit ribosomal RNA
Source: RNAcentral